Entelurus aequoreus (snake pipefish) is the source of this 1782-nucleotide long non-coding RNA. RefSeq lists it as uncharacterized. The transcript is spliced from 4 exons. The record is from RefSeq and is a predicted model, not a curated record. NCBI's taxonomy places the organism in Eukaryota, Metazoa, Chordata, Actinopteri, Syngnathiformes, Syngnathidae.
UAUAGCCACAAGCUCACUUACUCUGACCUUUGCUCUGAACCUUUUGUAAUUCCUGUUUUUGUAUUUCCUCAUGUGGAGGUCAGAUUUGGACCCGCUUUUCCUGGAGCUGAACUUUUGUUACAAUUGAUUUAUUUUCUCCAGUGAUUUUUUUGUUAUUAAAUAGAGACUUUUGAGGAUCUUCACUUGGAUUCUCACUCUUUUUUGAAACCACAACAGAACGAACUGGCCAGUAUGAAUCCAGCGGACCUUCCCCAUGAUGAGGACACACCUGCGGCAAUCAGGGAAGCCAUUUCGCAGCAAGGCAUCCUGCUUGGCCUGCAUGAACAAACACUACGCCAUCUUGUCCAAGGAAAUCAGGACCUUGUAUCACAGAUGAGUCAAUUAAUGAACCAAAUGUCUGUUUUGACUAAAAAACUUUUAUCCAUAGCCUCUGCCCAGUCACCUUUGACCCCUGCCUCACCCCACGCCUAAGCAGCAACUCUUGAAGUUCCCGUGCCAAACCCUGAGCCUUUUCAUGGGGACCUGAGCAGCUGUCGAGCCUUUCUUCUGCAGUGUUCCAACGUUUUUCAGCUCAGACCAACAACCUUUUCCACAGAUAAGUCAAAUAUUUUGUUUAUGGUUUGGUUACUGCGUGGCAGGGUCUUAACAUGAGCAGAGGCAGAAGACUCCAAGAAUCCACUGGCACUCAGAAGAUUUAAUGACUUUAUUGAGCGUUUCCGGCAAGUUUUCGACCACCCAAAUUAUGCUGGCAGUGCUGCUAAGCGUCUCCUAGCUCUACAGCAGGGAAGUCAUAGUGCUGCUGAUUAUUCUGUGGAGUUUCAAACAUUGGCAGCUGAUUUAGGAUGGAAUGACAAAGCGCUUAUGGAGAUUUUUAGUAAGGGCCUUAACGACCAGAUAAGGGAUGAAUUGGCUUGCAGAGACGAAGAGACACAUUUCAGUUCACUGAUUUCAUUGGUGAUUUGUUUAGAUAACCGUUUACGUGAGCGCCGCCAAGAGAAGACUGGUCAAUCUAAAUUCCCCCAAACUGUUCACAGACCUGCAAUUAAAGCAGCAUAAAUUCCCCGUCCUACCCCUCCUGCGGCUACUGAAGAACCCAUGCAGCUGGGCAGAGCACACCUGUCUCCUGGAGAACGGCAGCAACGCAUGCGGCUAGGCUAAAGCGACCCCAGAAGAGCAUUGAUCCUCACAGACGCAUCGGCUAUGUUGAAGAGUCGGGCCAAGCGAUAACAAUUCACAGCCAGACCAGCUGCUGACAACACAGCAUUGGACUGAGUGGAUGGCGAAGGGGCGACGAUGAUCAUCCGUAGGAAAAGACAGCAAACUGUGCGUUUUGCUCGUGACAGGAGUCGGCUGUGAGGGAAGAUGCCGUGUCAGCAUGGGGGACACGUGGCAGGGGCCAACGUGAAUCACAGCGAGAAGAAGGAACACACGUGCCGAGCCAAUAGCAGGUCUCCAAACAAGAAGCCUUAAUCAACUGCCUGAGUCAGUUGGAAAGUCAUACGCCAUGAGGGCCCAGUAAGGGACGCUGCAGUGUCGAUAUAGCAUGUCCUCAAGGCUCGGGUCAUUUCUGAAGAAGCAAUUAAGGCGGGACUGUGGGGGGGGAACUUUUAUGAGACCUGAAGAGCGGGACAAUGAGAGUUCUUGUCAAGCUGUUGUCAACCAACCUCCGGGGAGACCCACCCAUGUCCAUAACUGGCCUAAUAAAAAUGUGCGUAAAAACAAAUAAAUAAAUAUAAAAGCUGAAGGUGUAUUCCAUCCAGGGUUUAGUAAAAGCACACGUGA